GGAUAUAUAGCUCAGUUGGUAGAGUGCUUGCCUUGCAUGCACAUAGACCCUGGGUUCAAUCCCCAGCAUAUCUC
RNAcentral lists this transfer RNA (74 nucleotides) under Ictidomys tridecemlineatus (thirteen-lined ground squirrel). RNAcentral's name for it is "Spermophilus tridecemlineatus (thirteen-lined ground squirrel) tRNA". It matches the Rfam family "tRNA". From Rfam's summary of the family: Transfer RNA (tRNA) molecules are approximately 80 nucleotides in length. Their secondary structure includes four short double-helical elements and three loops (D, anti-codon, and T loops). Lineage: Eukaryota; Metazoa; Chordata; Mammalia; Rodentia; Sciuridae. The record is from Rfam by way of RNAcentral.